AACGCACCUUGCGCUCCUUGGUAUUCCGAGGAGCAUGCCUGUCUGAGUGUCAUGAAAUUCUCAACCUAUAAACCUUUGCGGGUUUGUAGCGUUGGAUGUUGGAGGCUUUUGCUGGCCCAGUCAGCUCCUCUUAAAUGCAUUAGCUUGGUUCCUUGUGGAUCGGCUGUCGGUGUGAUAAUGUCUACGCCGCACCCGUGAAGCGUUUGGAGAGCUUCUAAUGGUCUCGUCAGAGACAGCUUAUAUGAACUCUGACCUCAAAUCAGGUAGGACUACCCGCUGAACUUAA
RNAcentral lists this unclassified non-coding RNA (286 nucleotides) under uncultured fungus. RNAcentral's name for it is "partial contains 5.8S ribosomal RNA, internal transcribed spacer 2, and large subunit ribosomal RNA". The stretch from base 1 to 52 matches the Rfam family "5.8S ribosomal RNA", at positions 103 to 154 of the family's 154-position model. The record is from RNAcentral. Lineage: Eukaryota; Fungi.